Molecule: long non-coding RNA, 527 nt
Filed under: Mytilus galloprovincialis (Mediterranean mussel)
Lineage: Eukaryota; Metazoa; Mollusca; Bivalvia; Mytilida; Mytilidae
Source: RNAcentral
GUUUCUCUCAACUGAUCAACACACUUGUUUUUUUAUUUUGUUUUUUUUUAUAAUUGUAUUGAUGGGAAAUUAAACCGUCCCUUCCAUUUACCACUCUUGACAACAAAUAAUGUUGACCUUUGAUCUAUAAAUAUAAAGACAAAAAAAUAUUUAUUUUCCGAAUUUCCAUCCUAGAUAGCCAGGUGCAAUCUGAUAUUCACGAUGUCUGAAAUUCUCGCUUCCGUAUUUUUUUUUAAUACUCCUUAUCCUCCAUUUGCGUUUUAGGGUUUUUACUCGACUCAUUACUCUUUUUGUCUUGCCCGGUGUUUUAUAAAGUAUUUAUCAAUCUGAAUCUCGAUACAAAAUCAUAUAAAAUGACACUUCCGGUACAUGAUGGAUAAAACCUAAUCGACCAUCCCGUGUCAAUGGACAAAACCAAUGCAAUACUCGGGUUCGCAUACUUAUUUUUAUUUAUUUUGUUAAUCUAUCUAUUUUCGGUAUUAUGUAAUAUUUAUCGUCAUGAACCAUUGGUUUCUUUUACAUAAAUU